UUUAUUUUUCUAAGGAUUAUAGUAAAAAUUAAAAUAUUUGGCGGCUGUUUAAAUUAAAGGGAUUUGCUUUUUAUCGAUUUGCCUCGUUUAUUAUUAUUUAGUUUAUUUUUGUAUACCGUCAUUUAGAUAAUUUUUAUAUAAUUAAUUAUGAAAACAAUAUUUUUUAUAUUAGAUCAAGGUGCAGAUAUAAUUAAUCUUAAGUUAAUGACAAUAAUUUAUUAUUGACCGUUAUAUGUGUAAUUAGUUAGAAUAGUAGGAUUUAAUUGUAAUGAAAAAUUAUUGAAA
This 285-nucleotide ribosomal RNA is filed under the name Niphargus valvasori. RNAcentral's name for it is "partial 12S ribosomal RNA". Lineage: Eukaryota; Metazoa; Arthropoda; Malacostraca; Amphipoda; Niphargidae. The record is from RNAcentral.